AAGCGUUAUCCGGAUUCAUUGGGUUUAAAGGGUGCGUAGGCGGAAUUAGAUAGUCAAAGGUGAAAGCCUGCAGCUUAACUGUAGAAGUUGCCUUUUGAUACUGCUAAAUCUUGAGUACAGUUGAGGCGAGUGGAAUUGUUGUAGUGUAGCGGUGAAAUGCAUAGAUAACUACACAGAACACCAAUUGCGAAGGCAGCUCGCUAAGCUGUUACUGACGCUCAGGCACGAAAGCGUGGGGAGCGAACAGGAUUAGAUACCCUGGUAGUCCACGCUGUAAACUAUGAUCACUAGCUGUUGGCGAUAAAUUGUCAGUGGCUCAGCGAAAGCGUUAAGUGAUCCACCUGGGGAGUACGAUCGCAAGGUUGAAACUCAAAGGAAUUGACGGGGGCCCGCACAAGCGGUGGAACAUGUGGUUUAAUUCGAUGAUACGCGAGGAACCUUACCUGGGCUUAAAUGUAGCGCGACGUCUCGAGAAAUCGGGAUUCCCUUCGGGGCGAACUACAAGGUGCUGCAUGGUUGUCGUCAGCUCGUGCCGUGAGGUAUCGGUUUAAGUCCCAUAACGAGCGCAACCCUUAUUGUUAGUUACCAGCGGAUAAUGCCGGGGACUCUAACAAAACUGCCCGUGUAAACGGGAGGAAGGUGGGGAUGACG
RNAcentral lists this ribosomal RNA (651 nucleotides) under uncultured organism. RNAcentral's name for it is "bacterial SSU rRNA". It matches the Rfam family "Bacterial small subunit ribosomal RNA", at positions 536 to 1184 of the family's 1533-position model. The record is from RNAcentral.